AGUGCGUAAUAGCUCACUGGUCGAGUGAUCCUGCGCCGAAGAUUUCCGGGGCUAAAACUUACUACCGAAGCUACGGCAUCAGUAAUGAUGGGUAGGGGAGCUUCCCAUACGGGUUGAAGCAUGACCGUAAGGACAUGUGGACAGUAUGGGAGUGAGAAUGUUGGCAUGAGUAGCGAGAUGUGGGUGAGAAUCCCACAGGCCGUAAACCCAAGGUUUCCAGGGGAAGGUUCGUCCGCCCUGGGUUAGUCGGGACCUAAGCUGAGGCCGAAAGGCGUAGGUGAUGGACAACAGGUUGAUAUUCCUGUACUACCGAUAACCGUUUGAGAGAAGGGAUGACACAGUAGGAUAAGCUAAGCACACUGUUGGUUAUGUGUGCCCAAGCAUUGAGGCAGUCAAAGUAGGCAAAUCCGCUUUGAUAAUGCUGGGAUGUGAUGGGGAGCGAAAUUUAGUAGCGAAGUAGCUGAUUUCACACUGUCAAGAAAAGUCUCUAUCGAGGUUAAAGGUACCCGUACCGCAAACCGACACAGGUGGGUGAGGAGAGUAUCCUAAGGCCAGCGAGAGAACUGUUGUUAAGGAACUCGGCAAAAUGACCCCGUAACUUAGGGAUAAGGGGUGCCACCAUCAGGUGGCCGCAGAGAAUAGGCCCAAGCGACUGUUUACCAAAAACAUAGGUUUCUGCUAAGUCGCAAGACGAUGUAUAGGAGCUGACGCCUGCCCGGUGCUGGAAGGUUAAGGGGAUCUGUUAGAGCAA
This 751-nucleotide ribosomal RNA is filed under the name Clostridioides difficile. RNAcentral describes it as "bacterial LSU rRNA". It matches the Rfam family "Bacterial large subunit ribosomal RNA", at positions 1129 to 1898 of the family's 2925-position model. Lineage: Bacteria; Bacillati; Bacillota; Clostridia; Peptostreptococcales; Peptostreptococcaceae. The record is from RNAcentral.